Molecule: non-coding RNA, 74 nt
Organism: Phrynosoma platyrhinos (Desert horned lizard)
Lineage: Eukaryota; Metazoa; Chordata; Lepidosauria; Squamata; Phrynosomatidae
Source: the annotation of a GenBank genome assembly
GGCUGAGAAUGGUUUAGUGGUUGGAGCAUUGGACAAUGAUUCUGGAGAUUAAGGUUCAAUUCCUCGCUUGGCCA